CGUAGGGUGCGAGCGUUGUCCGGAAUUAUUGGGCGUAAAGGGCUCGUAGGUGGUUUGUCGCGUCGGGAGUGAAAUCCACUGGCUUAACUGGUGGCUUGCUUUCGAUACGGGCAGACUGGAGGUAUGCAGGGGAGAACGGAAUUCCUGGUGUAGCGGUGAAAUGCGCAGAUAUCAGGAGGAACACCGGUGGCGAAGGCGGUUCUCUGGGCAUGUCCUGACGCUGAGGAGCGAAAGUGUGGGGGAGCGAACAGGAUU
RNAcentral lists this ribosomal RNA (255 nucleotides) under uncultured bacterium. RNAcentral's name for it is "partial 16S ribosomal RNA". It matches the Rfam family "Bacterial small subunit ribosomal RNA", at positions 526 to 779 of the family's 1533-position model. The record is from RNAcentral.